CGCGUGAGGAACCUGCCUCAAAGAGGGGGACAACAGUUGGAAACGACUGCUAAUACCGCAUAAGCCCACAGGUCGGCAUCGACCAGGGGGAAAAGGAGCAAUCCGCUUUGAGAUGGCCUCGCGUCCGAUUAGCUAGUUGGUGAGGUAAUGGCCCACCAAGGCAACGAUCGGUAGCCGGACUGAGAGGUUGAACGGCCACAUUGGGACUGAGACACGGCCCAGACUCCUACGGGAGGCAGCAGUGGGGAAUAUUGCACAAUGGGGGAAACCCUGAUGCAGCGACGCCGCGUGGAGGAAGAAGGUCUUCGGAUUGUAAACUCCUGUUGUUGAGGAAGAUAAUGACGGUACUCAACAAGGAAGUGAC
Molecule: ribosomal RNA, 364 nt
Filed under: uncultured bacterium
Lineage: Bacteria
Description: bacterial SSU rRNA
Rfam family: Bacterial small subunit ribosomal RNA
Source: RNAcentral